AGGACAGAAGGAGUUUGUUUACCGAGCCUGUCGGAGUUCUUGUUUCGUCGUGACAGUAUCGGCGACGAGAGCUAGGAAGUUGGUCAGCGGUGGUUUUGCAUUAGCUAUCCGCCCGUUUUGCAUUAGCUCUACCUUGUAUUUAUGCUUGAGAGUAGAUGAUGUAUAGGGUGAGGUCUGAGUGCUUGUAUUUAUAUUUUGGAACAAUGUAAAGGAUAAAAUCAAAUGUAUUAUGUUGAAAUGUAAUAGAUAGAGCUUU
RNAcentral lists this long non-coding RNA (256 nucleotides) under Ananas comosus (pineapple). Its description in RNAcentral is "long non-coding RNA (ACOM_LNC033259)". The record is from RNAcentral. Lineage: Eukaryota; Viridiplantae; Streptophyta; Magnoliopsida; Poales; Bromeliaceae.